RNAcentral lists this ribosomal RNA (623 nucleotides) under uncultured bacterium. RNAcentral describes it as "bacterial SSU rRNA". The stretch from base 1 to 527 matches the Rfam family "Bacterial small subunit ribosomal RNA", at positions 338 to 873 of the family's 1533-position model. The record is from RNAcentral.
CCUACGGGAGGCAGCAGUGGGGAAUAUUGGACAAUGGGCGCAAGCCUGAUCCAGCCACGCCGCGUGAGUGAUGAAGGCCUUAGGGUUGUAAAGCUCUUUUGUCCGGGACGAUAAUGACGGUACCGGAAGAAUAAGCCCCGGCUAACUUCGUGCCAGCAGCCGCGGUAAUACGAAGGGGGCUAGCGUUGCUCGGAAUUACUGGGCGUAAAGGGCGCGUAGGCGGCCAUUCAAGUCGGGGGUGAAAGCCUGUGGCUCAACCACAGAAUUGCCUUCGAUACUGUUUGGCUUGAGUAUGGUAGAGGUCAGUGGAACUGCGAGUGUAGAGGUGAAAUUCGUAGAUAUUCGCAAGAACACCAGUGGCGAAGGCGGCUGACUGGACCAUUACUGACGCUGAGGCGCGAAAGCGUGGGGAGCAAACAGGAUUAGAUACCCUGGUAGUCCACGCCGUAAACGAUAGAUAGCUAGCUGUUGGGUGGUCGUUGCACCGCAGUAGCGCGAGCUAACGUACGUUAACGUACACUUCCGUCCGUCGGGGAGGUACGGUCGGCGAAGAAUUAAAACGUUAAAAGGUAAAGUUAGACGGACGUGAGACGUGCCGAACGGACGACGACGAGGGAGGUAGG